GGACACAAAUUGUUCCUGGCGUGCUUGAAAUCUACAGGAACAUAUGCACGUUUUGGGAUUGUGCUCAGGUGAAAGCAUAUUGGGAAACUAUAUUUGCUUAAACACCACAUUUUUAAAGGUGGAACAGAGAAAGGAGAGUGAAAGAGGCAAUAAAGCCCCAAUCCAGAAAACACUUUCAAAUGGAUUUAACUUUAAGCAUAUCAAUAGCAUCCUUGAAGCUACUGCAAGCUAAAAGCUAAGCAAAAUUUUUUGCAGAAUCAGGGCCUUAGACUGCAAAUUCACUGGGGCACAGGCUGUCUCCAUCAUUUGUACAGCACCUACUGUAAUUAUGCCCCAGUCCUUAUUAAGGCCAUAGGAUGCUACUGUAAUGCAAAGAGCAGCAGCUAGGCUAAGAAUUAAAUAUGGAAUUUCAGCCCUAACUUUGAA
Dermochelys coriacea (leatherback sea turtle) is the source of this 426-nucleotide long non-coding RNA. RefSeq lists it as uncharacterized. The record is from RefSeq and is a predicted model, not a curated record. NCBI's taxonomy places the organism in Eukaryota, Metazoa, Chordata, Testudines, Dermochelyidae. The transcript has 2 exons.